This 1155-nucleotide long non-coding RNA is filed under the name Oreochromis niloticus (Nile tilapia). RNAcentral describes it as "lncRNA (ENSONIG00000041661.1)". The record is from RNAcentral. Lineage: Eukaryota; Metazoa; Chordata; Actinopteri; Cichliformes; Cichlidae.
UGUAUGGUAACACUUUGUAAUGCAGUUCACGUUUUUCACUAUGAGUGCAGUACUCUAAUUAUAAACUUUUAGACAACUGUGCUUACUGACUGACUGCAAUUGGCAAAUAAAACUUCAAUAAAAAUACCACAUCUGGUAAAAGUGGAAUGAUUGUGAUUAGUAAACCUGUGAUCCAUCCCAGUGCAUACUUCUGUAUCGAUUAUUUCCACUUUGAAAAGUUUCCUGUUCGUGCUCUUUCUUUGCAGUUAAAGAGAAACAUGAGGAACACAUUCUAGUAUUAGAAUCUCUUUUUCCUGAAGGACGGACUGCUCUUGAAUUGUCCAAAUUUGUCAUAAAACUAAUUCAUUAUUCUGAGGUUACCUUUCAUUCUGCAAAUCGUGCAAGACAACAUUAGCUCUGAUCUUAGCAGCAACUAACCACUUCCUUUUUUUAUCAGCUCCUCCUCCUCAGAAAUAUAAAGUUGGGGGUGAAGAUGAGGCCUGUUUCACUCUCUCACUGUCGGCCAUGAUAUUACAACUGAACCAAACAGCGCUGCUCUUCAUUCAGCUGUUAGUGAUGCUGCGUGUCUUUGCAGUGAAGCCUGAAGAAAACAACAGAGUUAUGUUGGCAUUCAGAGGAGAUCCAGUGACGCUGACUUGUAACAUAUCUGAGAAAAAUGCAUCACAAAUCUCCUGGACAAACAGCAGAUCUGUUUUUCAAUAUUCUAUCCAGCUGAAUCGCACUUUUUCAAAUUUUUCAUCUAACAGACUAAAAAUAACUCCCGAGUUACCUACAAAGCUAAUUAUUGUUAGUGCUCAACCUGAGGAUGAAGGACUUUAUACAUGUAGCAUAACUGACCUAGAUGGCCUACACACCAUUACAUGGAAUUUAACUGUGUCUGAGAACCCAGAAGAAUCGAUUUCAUCAAAGUAUUUUACAUUCAUACUUCCAUCUGCAAUUGGAUUCCUUCUGUGUGGCAUCACACUGGCUGUCUUCUUCUACAGAAAAAUGAUGAUGAGGACACUGAAUCAGGAUCCAGUCCAGGAUCAGUUUCCCCCUCAUUCAGGAGAAGAGGCAGCACACUCACAACCACAGGGUGGCACUGCUCUUUGUACAAACAACAAACGGAGCAGUCAGUAUAUGGAGAGGCUGAAUUUAAUCUAUGGUCACUUCUGA